GACGAACGCUGGCGGCGUGCCUAAUACAUGCAAGUAGAACGCACAGUUUAUACCGUAGCUUGCUACACCAUAGACUGUGAGUUGCGAACGGGUGAGUAACGCGUAGGUAACCUGCCUGGUAGCGGGGGAUAACUAUUGGAAACGAUAGCUAAUACCGCAUAAUAUUGAUUAUUGCAUGAUAAUUGAUUGAAAGAUGCUAUUGCAUCACUACCAGAUGGACCUGCGUUGUAUUAGCUAGUAGGUGAGGUAACGGCUCACCUAGGCGACGAUACAUAGCCGACCUGAGAGGGUGAUCGGCCACACUGGGACUGAGACACGGCCCAGACUCCUACGGGAGGCAGCAGUAGGGAAUCUUCGGCAAUGGACGAAAGUCUGACCGAGCAACGCCGCGUGAGUGAAGAAGGUUUUCGGAUCGUAAAGCUCUGUUGUAAGAGAAGAACGGGUGUGAGAGUGGAAAGUUCACACUGUGACGGUAUCUUACCAGAAAGGGACGGCUAACUACG
Molecule: ribosomal RNA, 503 nt
Filed under: uncultured bacterium
Lineage: Bacteria
Description: partial 16S ribosomal RNA
Rfam family: Bacterial small subunit ribosomal RNA
Source: RNAcentral